UUACAUUUCUUGUUAUCCUUUUCCUUUUAGGUUUUGUGAAUGAUUCUGUUGCUAAGUCCAUCGUGGCCUUGCGUUUAACUCUGGUGGUGAAGGCCAGCACCUGUGUGCCUGGGGACAGCCACUCGAAUGACUUAGAGUGUUCAGGAAAAGGAAAAUGUGCCACGAAGCCAUCAGAGGCAACUUUUUCCUGCACCUGUGAGGACCAGUACAUUGGCACAUUCUGUGAAGAAUUUGAUGCUUGCCAGAGGAAACCCUGCCAGAAUGAGGCAAGCUGUAUCGAUGCAAAUGAGAAGCAGGAUGGAAGCAAUUUCACUUGCCACUGCCUUCCUGGUUAUACUGGAGAGCUUUGCCAGUCCAAGAUUGAUUACUGUGUCCUCGAUCCUUGCAGAAAUGGAGCUACAUGUGUAUCCAGUCUCAGUGGGUUCACCUGCCAGUGUCUGGAAGGUAA
Long non-coding RNA from Peromyscus leucopus (white-footed mouse), 448 nucleotides. RefSeq lists it as uncharacterized. The transcript is spliced from 3 exons. The record is from RefSeq and is a predicted model, not a curated record. Lineage: Eukaryota; Metazoa; Chordata; Mammalia; Rodentia; Cricetidae.